Molecule: long non-coding RNA, 2190 nt
Organism: Gallus gallus (chicken)
Lineage: Eukaryota; Metazoa; Chordata; Aves; Galliformes; Phasianidae
Source: Ensembl
CGUCUUUCUCUUUACAUCUUUAUGUUUAGUCACGUGAUAAUUUUUUAGAUGAUGACAAAUUCUGGCAGGCAUAUAGGAUGAAGAGGAAGUCCUUAAUAAAGAUGUCAUACUGCAGUGAGAUAAUUCAUUUUGAAGGCUUUUGUGAGGUUCACAAGGCAUGGAAGGUCCUUGGAAUUACGUUGUCGUUACGUUGUGAGAAUGAGAAAAAAAUUGUAGGGUAGUUAAAAAUACACAGAAACAGUCUUCAAAGGAGUUGGAAUGGCUACUGUCAUUUAGACAGAAUGAUGUAAGUAGGCUAAUUUUAGCUUUCUCUAGAAGGACUUUGGUGUUCAACAGUUUCUAUCAGCUGGAAAGUAUCGUAAAUUGUGAGCAAUACAUUGUAAGUGAACUGGUGCUGGGAAUUACUGUGACAUUACUAAAUGGUUGAUUUCUUUCUUCUGAAUACUGAAAAAUCACUACAUAUGAAAAAGGAAGUGAUAAAUGUGUGUUAGUUCCCUACAUACUUUUUUGAUACAGGCAGAAAGAAUGGGUGCAGAAUGGAAAGCAGCAUUCAAGAAGUGGGACAUUGCAGCAAACUCUCAGUAUGAAAGAUCUGUAGCUUUCCCAGAUGGUUUGCAGGAUGUGAGAACCUACCCAGCCAGGCACUGUCCAAAUGUUAGACUGACUUAGAGCCCAGAUGGCCAAUAAAUUUACUUCAUCUGUAUAUUGCUCUUUCUAAGAAUUCUGAUGUUGUAUUUUGCUGCUUUUGUAGGCUAACUGCUAACAUUUUUUUUUUCUUGUGUUAUAGGGUCAAAGUAAAGCAGGCUAAGAACAAAAACCUGAGGAAUACUGAAUUGAAUUGCAUAAAAAAUACAACAUUUUGUCUUUGAUCCAAGUGGAAGUACUCUGAGGACUCCUGCUUUAGGAAGCAGCUGAGCUCCGAUAUAAGAUGUGUUGAGUCAACAGCACUGUGAACCUUUGCAGAAAGAGGACUUGUUAUUCCCUUUGUUUCUACACUCAAGACUUGCUUUGCUGCAGGAAGAAAGUUGGAAUAUACCAUCAGGAAUCAUGAAUUGUUUCAGCUGUUGUGGUUUGUUUGCUGUUUGUACCGUAGUCAAAAUGAACAGACUGGUAAAGCCUGGGUGAAGUGCAAUGAAUGGAAUGUUGGACCAAUAAACGACCUGUUGCUAGCUGGCCUGUAUGUGAGGAGGGAAAAGAAAACUAUGGAACUGCAAUAAAAUGACUCCAGCUAAGAAAUUAGCAGGACAGCAUUAUGGGCAGUUGUUCCUGAAGCUAUCUAAAACUGCAUUAAGACUUCACGCUGACCAACUAAUGAAACCAUUUCAAUGGAACUUUGGAUUUUUCAUCAGGCCAUAUUUCCUUCACUUUUGAUAAACUUUGUGAUUCAAAGAAUUGCUGACAAAUUUGGCUGAAGAGCAUAGUGGUACAUUUGAGGAAGAUAUUGCUAAAUCAGAGUAAGCUUAGCAGAGACUCCCAAUGAGGUCUAGUUAGGGUAUUUAGCAAAUAACUUGCAAUAACUUAUUUUUGAUGCCUGAUUUAAUCCCGUGUAUUACAUGCUGUUUGUUGACAAACAACAGAGAAGCAAGCCUGUAAUUUCAAGAGGAAGCCAUCAGAAACAUAAACAUCUACAAGACCAGGAAUCCUGCUAUGAGUUUGCUGCCUGGCCUUGCAACCUUGCAAUAUGUGCUGCAAUCUGCUUAAUUAAGCCUUUAGAUACAAGCAGCAAAUAAAUAAAGCUGGAAUGGUAGGAGCAAAGUAAUACUUAAGUUCACCGGUCUGGUUCCAAAGGUAAUACUGGACCUGCUCACAAGUCAAAGAUACAGUUAAUUUGUAAUAAUGACGAUAGAACAAAUUUUCCAGGAAACUGAAACUUUGCUCUUAAUAGGUUCUGUUCCUGUAAAGAUCUGGUUGUCAUAAAACAUUGGAUAAGAAGCCAGGUACAACUUGGAUCAUGACUGUUAAACUACAUUUCGUAAUCAUCCGCUGUUUGGACAGGCUGGCCUUGGGAGCCUCACCCUUCCACGGGUGUAGGGUAUAAAUUCUGAUGCUCUGCUUCAUUGGCACCUCUUGUGCAAGAUGGGUACAAACAAGAUCCUGCUUUUCCUCUUAAGCGCAGCAAUUCUGGAUGCCACCUCAGAAACAACAACUGAAUACCCAUGGAGAACUGCACAAGCAACAACUGGAUACCCG